UAAGGACCGAUCAAACUGUUUCAGUUUGCACA
RNAcentral lists this non-coding RNA (32 nucleotides) under Mus musculus (house mouse). Lineage: Eukaryota; Metazoa; Chordata; Mammalia; Rodentia; Muridae. The record is from RNAcentral.